This 468-nucleotide ribosomal RNA is filed under the name uncultured bacterium. RNAcentral's name for it is "partial 16S ribosomal RNA". It matches the Rfam family "Bacterial small subunit ribosomal RNA", at positions 28 to 507 of the family's 1533-position model. The record is from RNAcentral.
GACGAACGCUGGCGGCGUGCUUAACACAUGCAAGUCGAACGGAAAGGCCCUGCUUUUGUGGGAUGCUCGAGUGGCGAACGGGUGAGUAACACGUGAGUAACCUGCCCUUGACUUUGGGAUAACUUCAGGAAACUGGGGCUAAUACCGGAUAGGAGCUCCUGCUGCAUGGUGGGGGUUGGAAAGUUUGGGCGGUUGGGGAUGGACUCGCGGCUUAUCGGCUUGUUGGUGGGGGAGUGGCUUACCAAGGCUUUGACGGGUAGCCGGCAUGAGAAGGGGGCCAGGGACAUUGGGACUGAGAUACGGCCCAGAGUGCUACGGGGGGCAGCAGGGGGGAAUAUGGCACAGUGGGCCGAAGCGUGAUGCAGCGACGCCGGGUGCGGGAUGACGGCCUUCGGGUUGUAAACCGCUUUCGCCUGUGACGAAGCGUGAGUGACGGUAAUGGGUAAAGAAGCACCGGCCAACUACGUG